AAAGCUUAAAUUUAAAAUCUGGCCGCUUCGCUGUCGAGUUGUAAUUUAGAGAAGUGUUACCCGCGUUGGACCGUGUAUAAGUCUCCUGGAAUGGAGCGUCAUAGAGGGUGAGAAUCCCGUCUUUGACACGGACUACCAGGGCAUUGUGGUGCGCUCUCGAAGAGUCGAGUUGUUUGGGAAUGCAGCUCUAAAUGGGUGGUAAAUUCCAUCUAAAGCUAAAUAUUGGCGAGAGACCGAUAGCGAACAAGUACCGUGAGGGAAAGAUGAAAAGAACUUUGGAAAGAGAGUUAAACAGUACGUGAAAUUGCUGAAAGGGAAACGCUUGAAGUCAGUCGCGUUGGCCGGGGAUCAGCCUUGCUUUUGUGAGGUGUACUUCCUGGUUGACGGGUCAGCAUCAGUUUCGACCACUGGAGAAAGGCAUUGGGAAUGUGGCACCUUCGGGUGUGUUAUAGCCCUUUGUUGUAUACAGUGGUUGGGACUGAGGAACUCAGCACGCCGCAAGGCCGGGUUUCGACCACGUUCGUGCUUAGGAUGCUGGCAAAAUGGCUUUAAGCGACCCGUCUUGAAACACGGACCAAGGAGUCUAACAUGCCUGCGAGUGUUUGGGUGGAAAACCCGAGCGCGUAAUGAAAGUGAAAGUUGGGAUCUCUGUCGUGGAGAGCACCGACGCCCGGACCUGAUGUUUACUGACGGAUCUGCGGUAGAGCAUGUAUGUUGGGACCCGAAAGAUGGUGAACUAGGCCUGAAUAGGG
RNAcentral lists this ribosomal RNA (752 nucleotides) under Marasmius corrugatus. RNAcentral's name for it is "partial large subunit ribosomal RNA". It matches the Rfam family "Eukaryotic large subunit ribosomal RNA", at positions 104 to 846 of the family's 3401-position model. Lineage: Eukaryota; Fungi; Basidiomycota; Agaricomycetes; Agaricales; Marasmiaceae. The record is from RNAcentral.